CAAUUAUUUAUAGCCUCUGGCUAUAGGAAAUUGUUAGUGGCAGACGGGUGAGUAAUGCGUAGGAAUCUACCUAGUAGUACGGAAUAGCCAUUAGAAAUGGUGGGUAAUACUGUAUAAUCCCCGAGGGGGAAAGAUUUAUCGCUAUUAGAUGAGCCUACGUUAGAUUAGCUAGUUGGUGAGGUAAUGGCUUACCAAGGCUAUGAUCUAUAGCUGGUCUGAGAGGACGAUCAGCCACACUGGAACUGAGAUACGGUCCAGACUCCUACGGGAGGCAGCAGUGGGGAAUAUUGGACAAUGGGCGAAAGCCUGAUCCAGCUAUGCCGCGUGAGUGAAGAAGGCCUUCGGGUUGUAAAACUCUUUCAAUAGGGAAGAUAAUGACGG
Molecule: ribosomal RNA, 381 nt
Filed under: Ehrlichia canis
Lineage: Bacteria; Pseudomonadati; Pseudomonadota; Alphaproteobacteria; Rickettsiales; Anaplasmataceae
Description: bacterial SSU rRNA
Rfam family: Bacterial small subunit ribosomal RNA
Source: RNAcentral